Molecule: non-coding RNA, 155 nt
Organism: Vicia faba (fava bean)
Lineage: Eukaryota; Viridiplantae; Streptophyta; Magnoliopsida; Fabales; Fabaceae
Source: the annotation of a GenBank genome assembly
UUUCAGCUUUGGAAAGAAUUGUAUACAGUACAUGUUCAAUAAAUCAAAUUGAGAAUGAAGAUGUUGUGAAAUCUGUUCUGCCUAUAGCCGAGUCGUAUGGAUUCCAACUGGCAAAGCCAUUCCCAAAUGGCAUGUCUUGGUCUUCCAGUCUUUGA